RNAcentral lists this unclassified non-coding RNA (239 nucleotides) under plant metagenome. Its description in RNAcentral is "partial contains small subunit ribosomal RNA and internal transcribed spacer 1". The stretch from base 1 to 46 matches the Rfam family "Eukaryotic small subunit ribosomal RNA", at positions 1786 to 1831 of the family's 1831-position model. The record is from RNAcentral.
AAGUCGUAACAAGGUUUCCGUAGGUGAACCUGCGGAAGGAUCAUUAAUGAAAUUUCGUGAGGAGUGCUGUAGCUGGCCUUUCGGGGCAUGUGCACGCCUCUUCACAAAUCCACUCACACCUGUGCACUCUUGCGUGGGCUUUAGGUCUGGUAUUCAUAAACCUAGCCGGCCCACGUCCUUUCACACACUCUUGUAUGUCAUAUGAAUGUCUAGCGAUGUUAUAAACGCAUCUAAUACAA